This 853-nucleotide ribosomal RNA is filed under the name Salmonella enterica. RNAcentral's name for it is "bacterial LSU rRNA". It matches the Rfam family "Bacterial large subunit ribosomal RNA", at positions 566 to 1378 of the family's 2925-position model. The record is from RNAcentral. Lineage: Bacteria; Pseudomonadati; Pseudomonadota; Gammaproteobacteria; Enterobacterales; Enterobacteriaceae.
UCGCGGUGGCGGAGCGUCGUUUGCGACGCCCAACACACAAAACAAGCGGUGAGUGCUUUGGGGUGGGGUGACUGCGUACCUUUUGUAUAAUGGGUCAGCGACUUAUAUUCUGUAGCAAGGUUAACCGUAUAGGGGAGCCGUAGGGAAACCGAGUCUUAACCGGGCGUUAAGUUGCAGGGUAUAGACCCGAAACCCGGUGAUCUAGCCAUGGGCAGGUUGAAGGUUGGGUAACACUAACUGGAGGACCGAACCGACUAAUGUUGAAAAAUUAGCGGAUGACCUGUGGCUGGGGGUGAAAGGCCAAUCAAACCGGGAGAUAGCUGGUUCUCCCCGAAAGCUAUUUAGGUAGCGCCUCGUGAACUCAUCUCCGGGGGUAGAGCACUGUUUCGGCUAGGGGGCCAUCCCGGCUUACCAACCCGAUGCAAACUGCGAAUACCGGAGAAUGUUAUCACGGGAGACACACGGCGGGUGCUAACGUCCGUCGUGAAGAGGGAAACAACCCAGACCGCCAGCUAAGGUCCCAAAGUCAUGGUUAAGUGGGAAACGAUGUGGGAAGGCCCAGACAGCCAGGAUGUUGGCUUAGAAGCAGCCAUCAUUUAAAGAAAGCGUAAUAGCUCACUGGUCGAGUCGGCCUGCGCGGAAGAUGUAACGGGGCUAAACUGUGCACCGAAGCUGCGGCAGCGACGCUUAUGCGUUGUUGGGUAGGGGAGCGUUCUGUAAGCCUGCGAAGGUGUCCUGUGAGGGAUGCUGGAGGUAUCAGAAGUGCGAAUGCUGACAUAAGUAACGAUAAUGCGGGUGAAAAGCCCGCUCGCCGGAAGACCAAGGGUUCCUGUCCAACGUUAAUCGGGGCAGG